This 30-nucleotide non-coding RNA is filed under the name Mus musculus (house mouse). The record is from RNAcentral. Lineage: Eukaryota; Metazoa; Chordata; Mammalia; Rodentia; Muridae.
UAGGAAACAAACACAAACAGGCAAGUCUCA